This 476-nucleotide ribosomal RNA is filed under the name uncultured bacterium. RNAcentral's name for it is "bacterial SSU rRNA". It matches the Rfam family "Bacterial small subunit ribosomal RNA", at positions 30 to 507 of the family's 1533-position model. The record is from RNAcentral.
AUUGAACGCUGCGGCAUGCCUUACACAUGCAAGUCGAACGGUAACGGGUUAAGCCGACGAGUGGCGAACGGGUGAGUAAAGUAUCGGAACGUGCCCAAUCGUGGGGGAUAACGUAGCGAAAGUUACGCUAAUACCGCAUAAGAUCUACGGAUGAAAGCGGGGGAUCGCAAGACCUCGCGCGAGUGGAGCGGCUGAUAUCAGAUUAGGUAGUUGGUGAGGUAAAGGCUCACCAAGCCUGCGAUCUGUAGCUGGUCUGAGAGGACGACCAGCCACACUGGGACUGAGACACGGCCCAGACUCCUACGGGAGGCAGCAGUGGGGAAUUUUGGACAAUGGGGGAAACCCUGAUCCAGCCAUGCCGCGUGCAGGAUGAAGGCCUUCGGGUUGUAAACUGCUUUUGUACGGAACGAAAGGCUCUGCCCUAAUACGGUGGAGAUAUGACGGUACCGUAAGAAUAAGCACCGGCUAACUACGUG